Molecule: long non-coding RNA, 459 nt
Filed under: Nicotiana benthamiana
Lineage: Eukaryota; Viridiplantae; Streptophyta; Magnoliopsida; Solanales; Solanaceae
Description: long non-coding RNA (NBEN_LNC014783)
Source: RNAcentral
UCUUACUAAGGUUUGCAGUCAUUCCAGAAGCCUUAGUAAAGUGGGAGAAGUAUCUAAACAUGGUAAUGACAGCCUUCAAGCCACCUUUUGCAAAGAGUAAUAAAUCAUCAGCAAAGCUCAGAUGAGUAAUACUGAGUUUUUUGCAGCCAGGAUGGAAAAGCAAAUCAGGAUCUUUCUUUAGCUCCACAAGGCCUCUACUAAGGUAUUCCAUCACUAUAGCAAAUAAGAAUAGAGAGAUUGGAUCACCCUGUCUCAAGCCUUUAGCUGCUGGGAAGGGUUCAGUGAUUUCCCCAUUGACCAUUAUAGUAUAGCUCACUGUUUGAACACAUUCCAUAGUCCAUCUUAUAAAUCUGCCUGGAAAGUGUAAGGCUUCCAUGACUUGCUGUAGAAAAAUCCACUCUACAGAAUCAUAUGCCUUUUGUAAGUCUAUCUUGACCAUACACCUAGGAGAGACAUGAG